AUUCACCCUGUUUUUCAUGUGUCACAGCUGAAGCCAUUCACAGCGGACUAUUCACCGGUCUUCAAUCACCUGCCAGCUCCUCCAGACCUCACAAUUGGCGACUUGGUGCCGCAGGCCAUCCUGGAACGCCGUCUGGUCAAGCAAGGCAAUGCGGCGAUCCCACAGGUUCUGGUUCAUUGGCACACACUGUCACCGGCAAGUGCGACAUGGGAAAAUUACAAUGUUCUGCGCCAACGCUUCCCCGACAUUGACCUCAUCGACGGAGCUCCAUCUCAAGCAGGGGCAAAUGUCACGCCCUCCUCCCCUGCUGCCACAACAAAGGAGAAGGCGGACAGUGAGGCACUGCUGGUGCGACGACCUGAGGAGAACAAAAGGGGCCACAGCCAGUGA
RNAcentral lists this ribosomal RNA (390 nucleotides) under Triticum aestivum (bread wheat). RNAcentral describes it as "partial small subunit ribosomal RNA". Lineage: Eukaryota; Viridiplantae; Streptophyta; Magnoliopsida; Poales; Poaceae. The record is from RNAcentral.